RNAcentral lists this non-coding RNA (24 nucleotides) under Arabidopsis thaliana (thale cress). The record is from RNAcentral. Lineage: Eukaryota; Viridiplantae; Streptophyta; Magnoliopsida; Brassicales; Brassicaceae.
UAUAACAAUCGGCAAACACCCAAU